CCUACGGGGGGCAGCAGUGGGGAAUAUUGCACAAUGGGGGAAACCCUGAUCCAGCGACGCCGCGUGAGUGAAGAAGUAUUUCGGUACGUAAAGCUCUAUCAGCAGGGAAGAAAAUGACGGUACCUGACUAAGAAGCCCCGGCUAACUACGUGCCAGCAGCCGCGGUAAUACGUAGGGGGCAAGCGUUAUCCGGAUUUACUGGGUGUAAAGGGAGCGUAGACGGCAGCGCAAGUCUGGAGUGAAAUGCCGGGGCUCAACCCCGGAACUGCUCUGGAAACUGUGCAGCUGGAGUGCAGGAGAGGUAAGUGGAAUUCCUGGUGUAGCGGUGAAAUGCGUAGAUAUCAGGAGGAACACCAGCGGCGAAGGCGGCUUACUGGACUGUAACUGACGUUGAGGCUCGAAGGCGUGGGGAGCAAACAGGAUUAGAUACCCUUGUAGUC
RNAcentral lists this ribosomal RNA (440 nucleotides) under uncultured bacterium. RNAcentral's name for it is "partial 16S ribosomal RNA". It matches the Rfam family "Bacterial small subunit ribosomal RNA", at positions 338 to 795 of the family's 1533-position model. The record is from RNAcentral.